Long non-coding RNA from Zophobas morio, 1945 nucleotides. RefSeq lists it as uncharacterized. The transcript is spliced from 4 exons. NCBI's taxonomy places the organism in Eukaryota, Metazoa, Arthropoda, Insecta, Coleoptera, Tenebrionidae. The record is from RefSeq and is a predicted model, not a curated record.
AUCUAAUUGGCGUAGCAGGGUAUCCAUUACUAGGUUCCAGAUGUUUGGCCCGCAGAUCGACCCUUGCGGGCAGCUUCUGCUAACCCCCCUUUUCAUAGACUGCGUAUUGCCUUCCAAGGUAACUUUUCUUUGUCUGAAGUAAGAGUUCCAGAGCAUUACAUCUCUUGAUCCUAUCUCAACGAGUCUUCUUAAUAUGGAGUUCCAACUGAUGUUGUCGAAGGCGCCUGAAAAGUCUAUGAAAAGGCCCGAAACAUAUUAAUGAGGACAUCCGCGAACACGGUCUACAACUGUCAUCCAAGCAUCUACGGUUGAUUUGCCUUCUCUAAAUCCACACUGAGUUGGGAAUAUGACCGCAUCGUUAUCGAGACAGUCUUCCUGUAACCGGUCUGUCAUUACUUUCUCCAAAACCUUGCUCCAAGCAGAGUAGACAAAUUGGCCUAUACGAUUUCGCCAGGUCCUUUGGCUUAUCCGAAGCUUUCAGAAGAGUUAUUACCUUUACCUACUUCCAAUUAUCCGGGAAUGUACCGUCUUUUAUACAGCGCUGCAGCACUGCCCUUAAGAACUCUGGAACUGCCCUAUGGAAUUCCUUCACGAUGGAACCAGUAAUCCCUUCCAACCCGAUGCUUUUUGACUUCUUAGUUUCUUUACGGCCUCUGCCACCUUCUCAGGCGACAGACAGCUCCUCUAUCGGCAAAUUUCCAUUCAAAUUUUCAGGAUAAUCCACAUCUAAUGGUCUAUGUUCUCCGAAGAAGGCGUUGAGCAAUGUCUCAGCUGACUCCCUCCAGGUUCCAGAGAUUGUAUCCCCUGACUUUAUAGCUGCUAUUUCCCUUGCACGCCGUCGACCUCUGCAAGUUUUGUAGACGUCUCCCCAAGGAUCUUUGCCGUGCCUUAUUGUCAUAUGUACAAAGUCUCUCCAAUGAUCGAACUUGGCUUUUCUUAAUUCGUCUGUAUACCUCCGGCUAGCCACCCUCCAACUCCUCUUAAUUUGUUCAAAUUCUUCUUCGUCAGCUCUUAGCAUACCACUUCCAUUAGCCCUAUUUCUUCGUUUUGUUUGGUACGCACGUCGGAGACGACGAACUUCCCUACGCUGCAGUCAACUGAGGUGUCCACCAGCGUACACGCAAAUCUCUUAGGCACAGUCACUUGGCAUGGUUCCUGUACCCAAGUAUCUACUGUACGACACAUUUCUACAAGAGGCAUCCGUAGAAAAUCAUCUAACCCAAGGGAAACAGCGCUGCUUAAGAUACUAUACCGAAACGCAAUCUUCUCUUCCUCACUCCUCAGACACCCUAUGAGUAUAGGAUUAUGAUCGCUAACACCGAGGUCGGGUCUUACGCUCCACUCCCAAAGAAAAGAUUGUUCCAAGGACAGAUUCGCCAAAGUAACAUCAAUGUCACUCGAACCAGACGUCAAUAUAUCGCCUCUUAAGUCUCUCUCUCUCAGGUUCUUGCUAUGCCACACCAGAGAUGUAGCAUUAGCAUCGAGACCGAUGAGCAGCGGCAUCCUAUCAGCACCCAACACAGCUCUUCGUAGAUGCAUGAUGUCAGUCGCCAUGUCGCCUCCGUACUGGCAGUAAAGGCUAGCUAAAAGUGACCGAAUUAGCAGAUAGCAAAAAUAGACCAUCAAGUGCUCAAAAUAGAAAAAGGAAACUGCAGAAAGAAGAAAAAAUAAAAAAGCUGAGUAGACCGAUUAGAACUUUUUUCGACCCGGUACUUCUUUAUCAACAUCAGUUGGGCAUUUAGAGGAAAUAACGGCUUUAGAUACCUCGCUUAUUUUAGAAGGCAGUGAAGUCACUACCCAUAGCAAUCCCUCGGCGACUCCACCAGAAUCAACCUCGACGUUUGAUAUUUCAUCAAAAUCAACAGUAGAUAAUAUGUAUUUUAAAUCAAAUAAGUUAUAAAUACUGCUGUGGCAUUUGUAAAUAUUUACUUCCUACUUUAUUAGA